UAGUACUCCUCACAAUGGCUGCAAUGUUCUGUUGGCAAACCCAAUAUACAGUAUAACACAAAAAAUGUUCACGUUUUACGGAAAGGAAACUACUAUGAAACCGUCCGUUUUACGAUUAAAAUCGUGUUUUUACCGUUACCGUUUUGUUUACGUUUAAACGAUAGCAGGACGAAUACGGAACGAUUAGAUUACGGUGCAAUUGCAGGUGAUAACACGUGUACCUGUUAAAGCAAAGGCGCUCGAGGAAGAAACUCGCUUGCGAGAGAAGGAGAAGAAGAAGCAAAAAAGGUCCCAUGCUUUGAUCUUAAUUGAACCAAACAAAGGACCAACCGCAAUUGAUAUUGGCUCAUUUCCCGAUUGACAACUCAUUAGCUUUGGUGAAAAAAAGCUCAUUUAUUGACAAAAAUGCUGUGAUCAGUAUUGGAUCAGAGCAUCAAGUCAAGGAAGGAAGUAAAGUAUAUACUGCUAAAAUAAUUGAGAUAGGAGAUGAUGAAGCAAUUAAAAUAGCUGAAGACAAAUUUUAUGCUGCUGAUGAUGAGAAUGAGGUGUCAAAAGAAAGUUAUAAUAAUCAAAGAACACUUUGUCAAGAUGCUUCAAUCAUAAAAGUAGAGAAGAAUAGUUGCUCGGUUGUACAUGAAUCUGCAUUUGCUAAAGCGAGGAUGGCAUUGGAUAAAAAAGGAAACAAAAAGCAGCAGCAACA
Molecule: long non-coding RNA, 700 nt
Organism: Amphimedon queenslandica
Lineage: Eukaryota; Metazoa; Porifera; Demospongiae; Haplosclerida; Niphatidae
Exons: 5
Source: RefSeq, a predicted model, not a curated record